This 74-nucleotide transfer RNA is filed under the name Patescibacteria group bacterium. RNAcentral's name for it is "tRNA-Arg". It matches the Rfam family "tRNA". Rfam says of the family: Transfer RNA (tRNA) molecules are approximately 80 nucleotides in length. Their secondary structure includes four short double-helical elements and three loops (D, anti-codon, and T loops). The record is from RNAcentral.
GCUCCCAUAGCUCAAUUGGAUAGAGCAACAGCCUUCUAAGCUGUAGGUUGCAGGUUCGAUCCCUGCUGGGGGUA